AAUGCUUGGGAACAUGCCUUGAGGUGGGGGACAACCGUUGGAAACGACGGCUAAUACCGCAUAAUCUCUACGGACCAAAGGGGGCUUCGGCUCUCGCCUUUAGAUUGGCCCAAGUGGGAUUAGCUAGUUGGUGAGGUAAUGGCUCACCAAGGCGACGAUCCCUAGCUGGUUUGAGAGGAUGAUCAGCCACACUGGGACUGAGACACGGCCCAGACUCCUACGGGAGGCAGCAGUGGGGAAUAUUGCACAAUGGGCGCAAGCCUGAUGCAGCCAUGCCGCGUGUGUGAAGAAGGCCUUCGGGUUGUAAAGCACUUUCAGCAAGGAGGAAAGGGUGUAAGUUAAUACCUUACAUCUGUGACGUUACUUGCAGAAGAAGCACCGGCUAACUCCGUGCCAGCAGCCGCGGUAAUACGGAGGGUGCGAGCGUUAAUCGGAAUUACUGGGCGUAAAGCGUACGCAGGCGGUUUGUUAAGCGAGAUGUGAAAGCCCCGGGCUUAACCU
This 501-nucleotide ribosomal RNA is filed under the name Pseudoalteromonas sp. WH163. RNAcentral's name for it is "bacterial SSU rRNA". It matches the Rfam family "Bacterial small subunit ribosomal RNA", at positions 112 to 615 of the family's 1533-position model. Lineage: Bacteria; Pseudomonadati; Pseudomonadota; Gammaproteobacteria; Alteromonadales; Pseudoalteromonadaceae. The record is from RNAcentral.